UUCAAUGUGAAAAUGAAGAUGGAACAAAAGUGAGACAAGUUAGACCAAAGAGACUUACAAUGUCUGUAAUGCUGAGGCUCUUGAAAGGUAUACCAUACCUAUCAUUCAACACUUUUCAUUAGAUAUUUUCCUUUCUAAUCUGAUUUGACUGUGUAGUCCGUGUGAUUGAUAGUGAUUACAUUAUUCUUCUGUUAUAUUUCUUAUUAUAAUGAGAUGAGGUUCUUGAUGGUGC
This 232-nucleotide long non-coding RNA is filed under the name Solanum tuberosum (potato). RNAcentral describes it as "long non-coding RNA (STUB_LNC005613)". Lineage: Eukaryota; Viridiplantae; Streptophyta; Magnoliopsida; Solanales; Solanaceae. The record is from RNAcentral.